GACGAACGCUGGCGGCGUGCCUAAUACAUGCAAGUAGAACGCACAGUUUAUACCGUAGCUUGCUACACCAUAGACUGUGAGUUGCGAACGGGUGAGUAACGCGUAGGUAACCUGCCUGGUAGCGGGGGAUAACUAUUGGAAACGAUAGCUAAUACCGCAUAAUAUUAAUUAUUGCAUGAUAAUUAAUUGAAAUGUGCAAUUGCACCACUACCAGAUGGCCCUGCGUUGUAUUAGCUAGUAGGGGAGGUAACGGCUCACCUAGGCGACGAUACAUAGCCGAACUGAGAGGGGGAUCGGCCACACUUGGACUGAGACACGGCCCAGACUCCUACGGGAGGCAGCAGUAGGGAAUCUUCGGCAAUGGACGGAAGGCUGACCGAGCAACGCCGCGUGAGGGAAGAAGGGUUUCGGAUCGUAAAGCUCUGUUGUAAGAGAAGAACGGGUGUGAGAGUGGAAAGUUCACACUGUGACGGUACCUUAUCAGAAAGGGACGGCUAACUACGUG
RNAcentral lists this ribosomal RNA (505 nucleotides) under uncultured bacterium. Its description in RNAcentral is "partial 16S ribosomal RNA". It matches the Rfam family "Bacterial small subunit ribosomal RNA", at positions 28 to 507 of the family's 1533-position model. The record is from RNAcentral.